GCAGAACGCGAAGAACCUUACCUACCCUUGACAUCCUCAUAAUCCCGAUGAAAGUUGGGAGUGUCUUCGGACAGUGAGAGACAGGUGCUGCAUGGCUGUCGUCAGCUCGUGUUGUGAGAUGUUGGGUUAAGUCCCGUAACGAGCGCAACCCUUGUUUCUAGUUGCCAGCACGUAAAGGUGGGAACAUUAGAGAGACUGCCGGUGACAAACCGGAGGAAGGUGGGGACGACGUCAAGUCAUCAUGGCCUUUAUGGGUAGGGCAACACACGUACUACAAUGGUAUGCAACAGAGAGAAGCGAAACGGCGACGUGAAGCAAACCUUAGAAAACAUAUCGUAGUCCGGAUUGGAGUCUGCAACUCGACUCCAUGAAGACGGAAUCGCUAGUAAUCGCAGAUCAGAAUGCUGCGGUGAAUACGUUCCCGGGUCUUGUACACACCG
RNAcentral lists this ribosomal RNA (440 nucleotides) under uncultured bacterium. RNAcentral describes it as "bacterial SSU rRNA". It matches the Rfam family "Bacterial small subunit ribosomal RNA", at positions 954 to 1392 of the family's 1533-position model. The record is from RNAcentral.